CUGAAACAUCUUAGUACCCGGAGGAAGAGAAAGAAAAUUCGAUUCCCUUAGUAGCGGCGAGCGAAACGGGAAGAGCCCAAACCAACAAGCUUGCUUGUUGGGGUUGUAGGACACUCUAUACGGAGUUACAAAGGACGACAUUAGACGAAUCAUCUGGAAAGAUGAAUCAAAGAAGGUAAUAAUCCUGUAGUCGAAAAUGUUGUCUCUCUUGAGUGGAUCCUGAGUACGACGGAGCACGUGAAAUUCCGUCGGAAUCUGGGAGGACCAUCUCCUAAGGCUAAAUACUCUCUAGUGACCGAUAGUGAACCAGUACCGUGAGGGAAAGGUGAAAAGCACCCCGGAAGGGGAGUGAAAUAGAACCUGAAACCGUGUGCUUACAAGUAGUCAGAGCCCGUUAAUGGGUGAUGGCGUGCCUUUUGUAGAAUGAACCGGCGAGUUACGAUUUGAUGCAAGGUUAAGCAGUAAAUGUGGAGCCGUAGCGAAAGCGAGUCUGAAUAGGGCGUUUAGUAUUUGGUCGUAGACCCGAAACCAGGUGAUCUACCCUUGGUCAGGUUGAAGUUCAGGUAACACUGAAUGGAGGACCGAACCGACUUACGUUGAAAAGUGAGCGGAUGAACUGAGGGUAGCGGAGAAAUUCCAAUCGAACCUGGAGAUAGCUGGUUCUCUCCGAAAUAGCUUUAGGGCUAGCCUCAAGUGAUGAUUAUUGGAGGUAGAGCACUGUUUGGACGAGGGGCCCCUCUCGGGUUACCGAAUUCAGACAAACUCCGAAUGCCAAUUAAUUUAACUUGGGAGUCAGAACAUGGGUGAUAAGGUCCGUGUUCGAAAGGGAAACAGCCCAGACCACCAGCUAAGGUCCCAAAAUAUAUGUUAAGUGGAAAAGGAUGUGGCGUUGCCCAGACAACUAGGAUGUUGGCUUAGAAGCAGCCAUCAUUUAAAGAGUGCGUAAUAGCUCACUAGUCGAGUGACACUGCGCCGAAAAUGUACCGGGGCUAAACAUAUUACCGAAGCUGUGGAUUGUCCUUUGGACAAUGGUAGGAGAGCGUUCUAAGGGCGUUGAAGCAUGAUCGUAAGGACAUGUGGAGCGCUUAGAAGUGAGAAUGCCGGUGUGAGUAGCGAAAGACGGGUGAGAAUCCCGUCCACCGAUUGACUAAGGUUUCCAGAGGAAGGCUCGUCCGCUCUGGGUUAGUCGGGUCCUAAGCUGAGGCCGACAGGCGUAGGCGAUGGAUAACAGGUUGAUAUUCCUGUACCACCUAUAAUCGUUUUAAUCGAUGGGGGGACGCAGUAGGAUAGGCGAAGCGUGCGAUUGGAUUGCACGUCUAAGCAGUAAGGCUGAGUAUUAGGCAAAUCCGGUACUCGUUAAGGCUGAGCUGUGAUGGGGAGAAGACAUUGNGUCUUCGAGUCGUUGAUUUCACACUGCCGAGAAAAGCCUCUAGAUAGAAAAUAGGUGCCCGUACCGCAAACCGACACAGGUAGUCAAGAUGAGAAUUCUAAGGUGAGCGAGCGAACUCUCGUUAAGGAACUCGGCAAAAUGACCCCGUAACUUCGGGAGAAGGGGUGCUCUUUAGGGUUAACGCCCAGAAGAGCCGCAGUGAAUAGGCCCAAGCGACUGUUUAUCAAAAACACAGGUCUCUGCUAAACCGUAAGGUGAUGUAUAGGGGCUGACGCCUGCCCGGUGCUGGAAGGUUAAGAGGAGUGGUUAGCUUCUGCGAAGCUACGAAUCGAAGCCCCAGUAAACGGCGGCCGUAACUAUAACGGUCCUAAGGUAGCGAAAUUCCUUGUCGGGUAAGUUCCGACCCGCACGAAAGGCGUAACGAUUUGGGCACUGUCUCAACGAGAGACUCGGUGAAAUCAUAGUACCUGUGAAGAUGCAGGUUACCCGCGACAGGACGGAAAGACCCCGUGGAGCUUUACUGUAGCCUGAUAUUGAAAUUCGGCACAGCUUGUACAGGAUAGGUAGGAGCCUUUGAAACGUGAGCGCUAGCUUACGUGGAGGCGCUGGUGGGAUACUACCCUAGCUGUGUUGGCUUUCUAACCCGCACCACUUAUCGUGGUGGGAGACAGUGUCAGGCGGGCAGUUUGACUGGGGCGGUCGCCUCCUAAAAGGUAACGGAGGCGCUCAAAGGUUCCCUCAGAAUGGUUGGAAAUCAUUCAUAGAGUGUAAAGGCAUAAGGGAGCUUGACUGCGAGACCUACAAGUCGAGCAGGGUCGAAAGACGGACUUAGUGAUCCGGUGGUUCCGCAUGGAAGGGCCAUCGCUCAACGGAUAAAAGCUACCCCGGGGAUAACAGGCUUAUCUCCCCCAAGAGUUCACAUCGACGGGGAGGUUUGGCACCUCGAUGUCGGCUCAUCGCAUCCUGGGGCUGUAGUCGGUCCCAAGGGUUGGGCUGUUCGCCCAUUAAAGCGGUACGCGAGCUGGGUUCAGAACGUCGUGAGACAGUUCGGUCCCUAUCCGUCGUGGGCGUAGGAAAUUUGAGAGGAGCUGUCCUUAGUACGAGAGGACCGGGAUGGACAUACCUCUGGUGUACCAGUUGUCGUGCCAACGGCAUAGCUGGGUAGCUAUGUGUGGACGGGAUAAGUGCUGAAAGCAUCUAAGCAUGAAGCCCCCCUCAAGAUGAGAUUUCCCAACUUCGGUUAUAAGAUCCCUCAAAGAUGAUGAGGUUAAUAGGUUCGAGGUGGAAGCAUGGUGACAUGUGGAGCUGACGAAUACUAAUCGAUCGAAGACUUAAUCAA
This 2729-nucleotide ribosomal RNA is filed under the name Staphylococcus aureus. Its description in RNAcentral is "23S ribosomal RNA". It matches the Rfam family "Bacterial large subunit ribosomal RNA". The record is from RNAcentral. Lineage: Bacteria; Bacillati; Bacillota; Bacilli; Caryophanales; Staphylococcaceae.